CUGCCUUGUUGAUAGUGUUGUUAAGAAGGUAGAAACUAGGGCCUGUAGGACCUGCCUUGUUGAUAGUGCUGUUAGGAAGGUAGAAACUAGGGCCUGUAGGACCUGCCUUGUUGAUAGUGCUGUUAGGAAGGUAGAAACUAGGGCCUGUAGGACCUGCCUUGUUGAUAGUGCUGUUAGGAAGGUAGAAACUAGGGCCUGUAGGACCUGCCUUGUUGAUAGUGUUGUUAGGAAGGUAGAAACUAGGGCCUGUAGGACCUGCCUUGUUGAUAGUGCUGUUAAGAAGGUAGAAACUAGGGCCUGUAGGACCUGCCUUG
Molecule: long non-coding RNA, 314 nt
Organism: Oncorhynchus keta (chum salmon)
Lineage: Eukaryota; Metazoa; Chordata; Actinopteri; Salmoniformes; Salmonidae
Exons: 3
Source: RefSeq, a predicted model, not a curated record